RNAcentral lists this non-coding RNA (31 nucleotides) under Homo sapiens (human). The record is from RNAcentral. Lineage: Eukaryota; Metazoa; Chordata; Mammalia; Primates; Hominidae.
GACUCUUAUCCUCUGUGACUACUCUCCUACC